RNAcentral lists this ribosomal RNA (253 nucleotides) under uncultured bacterium. RNAcentral describes it as "partial 16S ribosomal RNA". It matches the Rfam family "Bacterial small subunit ribosomal RNA", at positions 524 to 776 of the family's 1533-position model. The record is from RNAcentral.
UACGAGGGGGGCAAGCGUUGUUCGGAAUUACUGGGCGUAAAGGGCUCGUAGGUGGCCAACUAAGUCAGACGUGAAAUCCCUCAGCUUAACUGGGGAACUGCGUCUGAUACUGGAUGGCUUGAGUUUGGGAGAGGGAUGCGGAAUUCCAGGUGUAGCGGUGAAAUGCGUAGAUAUCUGGAGGAACACCGGUGGCGAAGGCGGCAUCCUGGACCAACACUGACACUGAGGAGCGAAAGCCAGGGGAGCAAACGGG